RNAcentral lists this unclassified non-coding RNA (348 nucleotides) under soil metagenome. RNAcentral describes it as "partial contains 5.8S ribosomal RNA, internal transcribed spacer 2, and large subunit ribosomal RNA". The stretch from base 1 to 120 matches the Rfam family "5.8S ribosomal RNA", at positions 35 to 154 of the family's 154-position model. The record is from RNAcentral.
GAUGAAGAACGUAGCAAAAUGCGAUAAGUAAUGUGAAUUGCAGAAUUCAGUGAAUCAUCGAAUCUUUGAACGCACAUUGCGCCCGCUGGUAUUCCGGCGGGCAUGCCUGUUCGAGCGUCAUUUCAACCCUCAAGCCCCCGGGUUUGGUGUUGGGGAUCGGCUCUGCCCUUCUGGGCGGUGCCGCCCCCGAAAUACAUUGGCGGUCUCGCUGCAGCCUCCAUUGCGUAGUGGCUAACACCUCGCAACUGGAACGCGGCGCGGCCAUGCCGUAAAACCCCAACUUCUGAAUGUUGACCUCGGAUCAGGUAGGAAUACCCGCUGAACUUAAGCAUAUCAAUAAGCGGAGGA